AUGAAUUCACAAAUUCAAGACUUGGAAAAAAAAAAGGAAUUCCCUCCUAAUUAUUUCGGUCUAAAAUUUUUGUGCCUAAAUUAUAGCCUUCUUCAUCUAUUAGAUUGAACAGUAAGAUUAGAAAAUCAGAAACCCUACAAGCCUAAAGCUUUCAAAAUCAAUCAUUUAUAGAGAAGGAAAAUUUCUCAUUAAUUACUCAUGUGAAUCAACCUAAUAUCCCCAGAAGAAAGAUACGAGGCUUUAUAGCGGAUUCAUAUAGCUCAACGACUAAAUUACUCUUAUUAUGCUUUUGGACUGCACAGGUUCUUAAGGAGGGAGGAAUUGAAGACUAAGAGGAAAAAGAUUCUACCUGUAAAUUUAUGGAAUUAGAGCAGAAAUGACAAGCUAAAAUCGAUGUUGAUCGAUUUAAGGUGCACUUGGAGACCGGUAGAGGAGAGAGAGAAGAAGACUAUGCGAUUACGGAUCUCAAAGAAGAUGGUGUCAUAGAGGAAUUCCGUAUUGUGAAUGUAUUUUAAUUGAAAUUUAAAAUUAUGUGUAACUUGAAACAUGUUUUGGAAUCUAA
Molecule: long non-coding RNA, 562 nt
Organism: Lycium ferocissimum
Lineage: Eukaryota; Viridiplantae; Streptophyta; Magnoliopsida; Solanales; Solanaceae
Exons: 4
Source: RefSeq, a predicted model, not a curated record